This 639-nucleotide long non-coding RNA is filed under the name Marmota monax (woodchuck). The record is from RNAcentral. Lineage: Eukaryota; Metazoa; Chordata; Mammalia; Rodentia; Sciuridae.
CUGAAAGUAAAGUUUAUUUUAUUUUAAUAAAAUGUUAAAGCUAUCUAUUUAUUUUACAGGAGUACAGGGGAUUGAACCCAGAGGUACUUUACCACUGAGACACAUCCCCAGCUUUUUUUUAAAAUUUGAGACAGAACCUUGCUAAGAAUUGGUGAGGCUCGUCUGGAAAAAAACUAAGGAUUGAUACACAAGUAUUUGUGUUUUAUUUCCUUGAGUAGUUGACAUUUAAAUAGAGAUGAAGGGGAAGAGUAGGGGGAAAGGGUAAGCCAAAGUAAAUAAGUAUUAUAUAAGGAUGUAUAUUAUUAGGAAUUAAAGAAGAUGAUGACAAAGCAAAGAAAGUCAUGAAAAGGAAGGUGGUAUGAAGGACAUUCUAGAUGGAAAAGUGUGAGUGAAACCAGGGAAUCUGAAUAUCAUAGUGUAUAUUGCACAACAGAAAGUAAGUUGAUCUAGUUUGUGCUUAAGGCAUAAGAGGAAUCAGGGCUGGUCUAAAGAAGUUACCCAUUAGUACAUGAGGAUGAAUUAGAAGGAAUACUAAUUACAUAUGAUGUGUCUAACACACUGCAUAUGAGGCCCAAAGUCACAGACAUUUUUGUGUGUACACAGACACACACACACACACACACAGUAGCUUAUGGAUGU